RNAcentral lists this ribosomal RNA (507 nucleotides) under Triticum aestivum (bread wheat). RNAcentral's name for it is "partial small subunit ribosomal RNA". The record is from RNAcentral. Lineage: Eukaryota; Viridiplantae; Streptophyta; Magnoliopsida; Poales; Poaceae.
AUGGAAAUUGUCCAUACAUACGGGAAGCCUGACAUCUUCUUGACAAUGACUUGCAACCCUAAAUGGGAAGAGAUAACAAAUGAGUUGCUUCCCGGGCAGACGGCGCAAGACCGACCUGAUAUUGUGGCUCGCGUGUUCUAUGGCAAACUAGAGGCUACGAAAGAUACGUUGCUCAAGAAGAUGGUCCUUGGUGUUUUUGUUGCUUAUGUUUACGUAGUCAAGUUCCAAAAGAGAGGCCUCCCCCAUGCACAUUUUUUGUUGAUCAUGGAUUCAAAUUAUAAGCUUCUUGUCCCAGAGCAGUAUGACCGACUCAUUUCCGCUGAGCUCCCAGAAAAGCAGAAGUAUCCGGAAUUGUAUGCAAUGGUGGUAAAACAUAUGAUGCACGGACCAUGCGGUGCUCUCAACCCGAAGAAUGUUUGCAUGCAAGAUAAUGAAUGCAAGUACAGAUACCCGCGGCCGUUCAAUGAGAACACAGCACAGGGCAAGGACUCAUACCCAGUUUAUUGA